UGUCUGUCUCUCUGCCUCCUCCUUUGUCUCAGGAAUUUCACCUGCCGAAGUGACAGGACAGCGGGGUCACGGGAAGAGUUUAAAGGAGGAAGGUCUCUCCGUGACAUGGCUGCUCUUCCUUAUUUUUCUUGUUUUCCCUUGGCCUUGGCCAGUGACGUCGUGGGGGAGGCGCAGCUCAGGAGGUGGCCGUGCCUCAACACCGCGUCCACGUAGACACAUCCUCACGACCGUCCCCCUGCCGACGGCCACGUGCCGGUGUGGACACGUGGCUGGGGCCGGUCCCCCAGGCCGGCUGAUGCAGACAGUACACAUAGUCACCUGUGCGACUGUGUCCCCGACGGAGCUGGCCCAGGGGACAUCAGCACUGGUGGGGGUCCCCUGCCCCAGGCUUUGGGGGAACAGCCCGGCAGAGCCUCCCCACCGGGCCUGGAAGGCACAGAACCGCACACGGAGAUCCGCACCCGAGCCAGGCCGGUGUCGCGAAGGCGGGUCCCAGCCGCGCUCCUGCACAGUGCGCGGCGCCUGUUUUAGCAGAAGGUGACAUUGAACCUGGCUCCUGCAGGGGCCAAAGGCCCCGGGGGCUAUCUUUGCCCAGACGCGGUUUCUCAGGCCACAUGUCAGCAUUUCUCAUGUGGAGCAACCCCCUCAUCCCGGCUUCGAGGAGCUUCUGGAAAAUGCACCGCCAAGCACUGCUGGUGAGAAUGUAAACGGUGUCGCCGCGGUGGAAGUAGCGUGGCGGUCCCGCAGAAAACUAGAAAUGGACCCACGUGUGCUGGCCAGCCCGCCUCUCGGUACAGCCCCUGAAAGUGAGGCUCAGAGAGAUCCUUGCACACCCAUGUUUACAGCAGCAUUGUUCACAACCGCCAACAGGUGGCAGCCACCCAAACGUGCAUCAGCAGAGGAGUGGCAGACAAGAUGUGCGUGUCUGUGCAGUGGGCUGCUCAGUGGGAUGUGGGGCAGCUGCACGGUGGGGGGGGGGGGGCAGAUGGCGGGUUUCACACUUGGCCGAGUGAGGUUGGGGCUGCUAGGCCUGCUUAACUCAACCUCUAGCGAUGGGUGACUCACAGCCAGUUGCCUUAGAUCAGGGAAAUGGAAAAACACCAAGAAUGUUAAUAAAGAUUUUCCUUAGAACCUCCAUUAA
Molecule: long non-coding RNA, 1141 nt
Organism: Hyaena hyaena (striped hyena)
Lineage: Eukaryota; Metazoa; Chordata; Mammalia; Carnivora; Hyaenidae
Exons: 2
Source: RefSeq, a predicted model, not a curated record